AGAGUUUGAUCAUGGCUCAGGACGAACGUUGGCGGUGCGCUUUAUGCAUGCAAGUCGAGCGAGAAGCGUUGGUUCCGUAAGGUUCCGACGUGGAAAGCGGCGAACGGGUGCGUAACACGUGAGAAACCUGCCCCCCAGACCGGGAUAGCCCAGGGAAACUUGGAUUAAUACCGGAUAUUCUCUUUGGAUCGCAUGAUCCGUUGAGGAAAUGGUCCGCUGCUGGGGGAUGGUCUCGCGGCCUAUCAGGUAGUUGGUGAGGUAACGGCUCACCAAGCCGAAGACGGGUAGCUGGUCUGAGAGGACGAUCAGCCACACUGGAACUGAGACACGGUCCAGACUCCUACGGGAGGCAGCAGCAGGGAAUAUUGCACAAUGGGCGAAAGCCUGAUGCAGCGACACCGCGUGCGGGAUGAAGGCCUUCGGGUUGUAAACCGCUUUCAGGAGGGAAGAAAAUGACGGUACCUCCAGAAGAAGGCCCGGCCAACUACGUGCCAGCAGCCGCGGUAAUACGUAGGGGCCAAACGUUGUCCGGAAUUAUUGGGCGUAAAGGGCUCGUAGGCGGUUCAACAAGUCGGUCGUGAAAGCCCGGGGCUCAACUCCGGGAUGCCGGUCGAAACUGUUGUGACUUGAGUUCGGUAGAGGUGAGUGGAAUUCUCAGUGUAGCGGUGGAAUGCGCAGAUAUUGAGAGGAACACCAUUAGCGAAGGCGGCUCACUGGGCCGAUACUGACGCUGAGGAGCGAAAGCGUGGGGAGCAAACAGGAUUAGAUACCCUGGUAGUCCACGCCGUAAACGAUGAACACUAGGUGUAGCGGAUUUAUUCAUGUCUGCUGUGCCGUAGCUAACGCAUUAAGUGUUCCGCCUGGGGAGUACGGCCGCAAGGCUAAAACUCAAAGGAAUUGACGGGGCCCCGCACAAGCGGCGGAGCAUGCGGCUUAAUUCGAUGCAACCCGAAGAACCUUACCUGGGUUUGACAUCAUGGGUCUAGCUGUGGAAACACAGUGUGCUUACGCGCCCAUGACAGGUGGUGCAUGGCUGUCGUC
This 1041-nucleotide ribosomal RNA is filed under the name uncultured bacterium. RNAcentral's name for it is "bacterial SSU rRNA". It matches the Rfam family "Bacterial small subunit ribosomal RNA", at positions 8 to 1056 of the family's 1533-position model. The record is from RNAcentral.